ACGGCUCAGUAACACGUAGCUAACCUAACCUCAAGGCGGAAAUAACCCCGGGAAACUGGGGUCAAUGUCCGAUAGAUGUGAAUUCCUGGAAUGGUAUCACAUCCAAACGUCAGUGCACCAUGUUGUACGAACGCUUGAGGAUGGGGCUGCGGCCGAUCAGGCUGUUGGUGGGGUAAUGGCCCACCAAACCUUUGACCGGUAUGGGCCAUGAGAGUGGUAGCCCAGAGAUGGACACUGAGACAAGGGUCCAGGCCCUACGGGGCGCAGCCGGUACGAAACCUCCACAAUGCACGCAAGUGCGAUGGGGUCAUCUCGAGUGCUACCUGAAGAAGGUAGCUUUUCCAUGGUCUAAAUAGCCGUGGGAAUAAGGGGGGGGCAAGACUGGUGUCAAGCCGCCGCGGUAACACCAGCCCCCCGAGUGGUGGGGAUGUUUAUUUGGCCUAAAGCGUCCGAGCCGGCUAAGUAAACUUCUCGUUAAAUCCAACGUCCCAAGCGUUGGGCUGCGAGAAAGACUGCUAAGCUAGAGGGUGGGAGAGGUCAGCGGUAUUCCUGGGGUAGGGGCGAAAUCCUUUGAACCCAGGAGGACCACCAGUGGCGAAGGCUGCUGACUAGAACACGCCUGACGGUGAGGGACGAAAGCUGGGGUAGCGAAUCGGAUUAGAUACCCGAGUAGUCCCAGCUGUAAACGAUGCAGACUAGGUGUUGGGUUGGCCACGCGCCGACUCAGUGCCACAGGGAAGCCAUUAAGUCUGCCGCCUGGGAAGUACGGCCGCAAGGCUGAAACUUAAAGGAAUUGGCGGGGGAGCAC
Molecule: ribosomal RNA, 808 nt
Filed under: uncultured archaeon
Lineage: Archaea
Description: bacterial SSU rRNA
Rfam family: Archaeal small subunit ribosomal RNA
Source: RNAcentral